UACGUAGGGUGCAAGCGUUGUCCGGAAUUAUUGGGCGUAAAGAGCUCGUAGGCGGCUUGUCGCGUCGGCUGUGAAAACCUGGGGCUCAACCUCGGGUCUGCAGUCGAUACGAGCAAACUAGAGUGUUGCAGGGGAGACUGGAAUUCCUGGUGUAGCGGUGAAAUGCGCAGAUAUCAGGAGGAACACCGGUGGCGAAGGCGGGUCUCUGGGCAACAACUGACGCUGAGGAGCGAAAGCGUGGGGAGCGAACAGG
RNAcentral lists this ribosomal RNA (253 nucleotides) under uncultured bacterium. RNAcentral's name for it is "partial 16S ribosomal RNA". It matches the Rfam family "Bacterial small subunit ribosomal RNA", at positions 524 to 776 of the family's 1533-position model. The record is from RNAcentral.